This 450-nucleotide ribosomal RNA is filed under the name uncultured bacterium. Its description in RNAcentral is "bacterial SSU rRNA". It matches the Rfam family "Bacterial small subunit ribosomal RNA", at positions 328 to 793 of the family's 1533-position model. The record is from RNAcentral.
CGCUAUCACUCCUACGGGAGGCAGCAGUGGGGAAUCUUGGACAAUGGGGGCAACCCUGAUCCAGCCAUGCCGCGUGAGUGAUGAAGGCCUUAGGGUCGUAAAGCUCUUUCGCCAGGGAUGAUAAUGACAGUACCUGGUAAAGAAACCCCCGGCUAACUCCGUGCCAGCAGCCGCGGUAAUACGGAGGGGGUUAGCGUUGUUCGGAAUUACUGGGGCGUAAAGCGCGCGUAGGCGGACCAGAAAGUUGGGGUGAAAUCCCCGGGGCUCAACCCCGGAACUGCCUCCAAAACUCCUGGUCUUGAGUUCGAGAGAGGUGAGUGGAAUUCCGAGUGUAGAGGUGAAAUUCGUAGAUAUUCGGAGGAACACCAGUGGCGAAGGCGGCUCACUGGCUCGAUACUGACGCUGAGGUGCGAAAGUGUGGGGAGCAAACAGGAUUAGAUACCCUGGUAG